GGCGGCGUGCCUAAUACAUGCAAGUCGAGCGGACCAAAUCGGAGCUUGCUCUGAUUUGGUCAGCGGCGGACGGGUGAGUAACACGUGGGCAACCUGCCCGCAAGACCGGGAUAACUCCGGGAAACCGGAGCUAAUACCGGAUAACACCGAAGACCGCAUGGUCUUUGGUUGAAAGGCGGCCUUUGGCUGUCACUUGCGGAUGGGCCCGCGGCGCAUUAGCUAGUUGGUGAGGUAACGGCUCACCAAGGCGACGAUGCGUAGCCGGCCUGAGAGGGUGACCGGCCACACUGGGACUGAGACACGGCCCAGACUCCUACGGGAGGCAGCAGUAGGGAAUCUUCCGCAAUGGGCGAAAGCCUGACGGAGCGACGCCGCGUGAGCGAAGAAGGCCUUCGGGUCGUAAAGCUCUGUUGUGAGGGACGAAGGAGCGCCGUUCGAAGAGGGCGGCGCGGUGACGGUACCUCACGAGGAAGCCCCGGCUAACUACGUGCCAGCAGCCGCGGUAAUACGUAGGGGGCGAGCGUUGUCCGGAAUUAUUGGGCGUAAAGCGCGCGCAGGCGGUUCCUUAAGUCUGAUGUGAAAGCCCACGGCUCAACCGUGGAGGGUCAUUGGAAACUGGGGGACUUGAGUGCAGGAGAGGAGAGCGGAAUUCCACGUGUAGCGGUGAAAUGCGUAGAGAUGUGGAGGAACACCAGUGGCGAAGGCGGCUCUCUGGCCUGCAACUGACGCUGAGGCGCGAAAA
This 742-nucleotide ribosomal RNA is filed under the name uncultured organism. RNAcentral describes it as "SSU rRNA". It matches the Rfam family "Bacterial small subunit ribosomal RNA", at positions 38 to 759 of the family's 1533-position model. The record is from RNAcentral.